RNAcentral lists this ribosomal RNA (483 nucleotides) under uncultured bacterium. RNAcentral describes it as "partial 16S ribosomal RNA". It matches the Rfam family "Bacterial small subunit ribosomal RNA", at positions 28 to 507 of the family's 1533-position model. The record is from RNAcentral.
GACGAACGCUGGCGGCGUGCUUAACACAUGCAAGUCGAACGCUGAAGCUCAGCUUUUGUUGGGUGGAUGAGUGGCGAACGGGUGAGUAACACGUGAGUAACCUGCCCCCUUCUUUGGGAUAACGCCCGGAAACGGGUGCUAAUACUGGAUAUUCACUGGUCUUCGCAUGGGGGUUGGUGGAAAGGGUUUUUCUGGUGGGGGAUGGGCUCGCGGCCUAUCAGCUUGUUGGUGGGGUGAUGGCCUACCAAGGCUUUGACGGGUAGCCGGCCUGAGAGGGUGACCGGUCACAUUGGGACUGAGAUACGGCCCAGACUCCUACGGGGGGCAGCAGUGGGGAAUAUUGCACAAUGGGCGCAAGCCUGAUGCAGCGACGCCGCGGGAGGGAUGGAGGCCUUCGGGUUGUGAACCUCUUUCGCUCAUGGUCAAGCCGCAACAAUGGUUGUGGUGAGGGUAGUGGGUAAAGAAGCGCCGGCUAACUACGUG